GCGGACGGGUGAGUAACGCGUGAGAAUCUGCCCUCAGGACGGGGACAACAGCUGGAAACGGCUGCUAAUACCCGAUGUGCCGAGAGGUGAAACAUUUAUGGCCUGAGGAUGAGCUCGCGUCUGAUUAGCUAGUUGGUGGGGUAAAAGCCUACCAAGGCGACGAUCAGUAGCUGGUCUGAGAGGAUGAUCAGCCACACUGGGAAUGAGACACGGCCCAGACUCGUACGGGAGGCAGCAGUGGGGAAUUUUCCGCAAUGGGCGCAAGCCUGACGGAGCAAGACCGCGUGCGGGAGGACGGCCUAUUGGUUGUAAACCGCUUUUGAUAGGGAAGAAGUUCUGACGGUACCUAUCGAAUCAGCAUCGGCUAACUCCGUGCCAGCAGCCCCGGUAAUACGGAGGAUGCAAGCGUUAUCCGGAAUUAUUGGGCAGUAAAGCGUCCGUAUCGUGGUUGUUCAAGUCUGCUGUUAAAGGCGUGCGGCUUAACCUGCAUACCACGCACGUGGAAACUGGGCAACUAGAGUGCGGUAGGGGUCAGGGGAAUUCCCAGUGUAGCGGUGAAAUGCGUAGAUAUUGGGAAGAACACCGGUGGCGAAAGCGCCUGACUGGACCUGCACUGACACUGAGGGACGAAAGUAGGGG
Molecule: ribosomal RNA, 639 nt
Filed under: uncultured cyanobacterium
Lineage: Bacteria; Bacillati; Cyanobacteriota
Description: bacterial SSU rRNA
Rfam family: Bacterial small subunit ribosomal RNA
Source: RNAcentral